GGAGCCGCAGCUAAGAUCUGGUCAUAAAGCUCCCGGUACCGCCGACUCCUACGUCCUCGAAUGUUCCACGUAUUGCCCAUCGCUGCAUCACUGAUUUUGGCAUGGCGUGAUAUACCCAGAUAUGUGGCGCCAACCGCUCCUGUAAUAUUAAUCAAUUUCCCAAUUCCAAGCCAAUUGUCAAACCAGAAGUAAGUAGUCCUACCAUCCCUGAUAUCAAUUCUAACAAACUCAUAGGCCAAAUCUCUUAGUUUCAGGAGCUUCCUCCAUAUCCAAGAUCCAUUUUGUUCUCCCCUCACAUCCCAAAAGGAAUUAUACCUGAGCAAGUAAUGUGUAACCCAACUUACCCAUAGAGAAGCUGGUUUUGUGAAAAGUCUCCAAAUGAGUUUUAGAGCAAAGGCUCUAGCUGUGUCCUUGAACUUCCUCA
Molecule: long non-coding RNA, 424 nt
Filed under: Brassica napus (rape)
Lineage: Eukaryota; Viridiplantae; Streptophyta; Magnoliopsida; Brassicales; Brassicaceae
Description: long non-coding RNA (BNAP_LNC015640)
Source: RNAcentral